Molecule: ribosomal RNA, 354 nt
Filed under: uncultured eukaryote
Lineage: Eukaryota
Description: bacterial SSU rRNA
Rfam family: Eukaryotic small subunit ribosomal RNA
Source: RNAcentral
AUAGCGUAUAUUAAAGUUGCUGCGGUUAAAAAGCUCGUAGUUGAAUUUCGGAAUUGAUGCAUCGGUCGUGCCUUAAGGGGCAUGAACUGGUGUAGCCAAUUUCUCACCUUCUGGUGAAUUGUUGAUGUUCUUAAUGGGUGUCUCAAUGAACUAGAAUUUUUUACUUUGAAAAAAUUAGAGUGUUUAAAGCAGGCAUUGAUUUGCUUGAAUACAUUAGCAUGGAAUAAUGAAAUAGGACAGUGGUUCCGUUUUGUUGGUUUCUAGGAUCACGUAAUGAUUAAUAGGGACAGUUGGGGGCAUUAGUAUUCAAUUGUCAGAGGUGAAAUUCUUGGAUUUAUUGAAGACUAACUAUUG